AGUGCCAGUGGGGAAGGAUCUGUGGUUGGAGUUCCUUUUCUUGUGGAGUCUUUCCUGUAAGCCCCGAUGUUUGGAGGUGGAUGAGCAGCAACCAAGUGUGGUGUUUUCUGCCUCUCAGAGAGAUUUUAGACCUAGUGGGGGUCUAUCUAUCCCCAAGCAGCUGUGGCUGGUGUCUGAUGGAGACCCCUGAGCUUUCACUUGAUUAAACAUUAAAGCCUCAUCUCAUUUCAAGUCAGAAUCCUUAUUCCUACUUCUUGUCAAGGAGAUUUACAGUCCAGCUCUAAGGGCAGCCUGUGACUCCAUGAAGUCGUGGUGUAAGGCAAGACUUGUGAGCACCAAGGAGUGAAGCACCUCAAGCCUCUUUCCCAGGCACGCAGACCCUUGGAUAUUAAACCAACAGAAGAUGUCAAAGCACAACCAAGCUGCUGUGAUAUACGGUGCUCAGAAACACUUCCUCACGUUACGUUUCCUAACCUCAGCCACUUCAAUUCCGCGGCAGAAUGAACCAUGAAGUGCUGCACCAGUGGAUUUAUAGUUUGCCAUGUGAAACUUCAUAGAGAAGACGAGCUCAAGGGGAAAAUGAUUUGUCCUACUGUUGCUUCCCAGUGAGCUUUCACCAUUUCUGUGUUCAGCCGUGGAAUUCUUCCCCAAAAGACAUCUUUGAACUGAAAUUACAUGACAACAGGAAUCCUAAAUCCAAAUCCACUUUAAUGCAGGACUUUUAGGAAUGUGACUGUUUCACUUACUACCUUUACACCUGCUGCUGGUGCAGGGAACAAGCACAAAGAGCAGCCCAGAGGGCAAAGCUGCAGGAAGGACUGCAUUGGCUGUGGAGGGUGGCAAGAGCUGGCUUGGCCGUAGCCCUUCUGGCUGGCCCUGGGUGCUUAGCCUCACUUACCUGGGUGCUCUGGCAAUACUGAUAUGCUUAGAGGCUUUCUUGUACAGGUGAGAUGGAGGAGGGCACAGAACUGCCUCUGAGGAGUCCCUAGGUGCAAGCUUAAAGCCCUUCUACCACAUGACCUCUGUGUUGAGCGAGAGGAGUGGGACCUUGGGUCAUAUCAGGAAAGAGGGAGUAGAGAGUUGCUGUAACGAGAACCAGCUUGGUGUCCUUGUUAGGACUCAGUCCGAGUGCUGUUGAAUCCAAUGAGGAUUUUUGCCUCCAACCUUUCUGUAACUGGCUCUUACUGUCAGCACCGUGGUUUUCCUUCUCAUGCAUUAUGCAGCAAGUUCUGCUUUCUCAUUGUCUUUCCAACGCGUAGUUCAGUGACCUGUUACUAUAACUGAGUUUAGCUACUAAAUGUUAUUUAUCAUAGCAGCUAACAUUAAACACGGAUCAACAGUGAUCAUCAGAGCUUUGUAUUGAUUCCCUUGCAGCCUUGCCCCAUCAGCCUUGCACUGCCUGCUGGCCACAGGGCUGUUCCCUGCCCCAGGGCCAGGCUGCUCUGUGUGCCUCUCUGUGCCAUUGCAGCAGGAGCAGUGCAACUACUUGCAGCGCUGCUGGCAGUCAGGCUGUAUGAGAAUGUUUGGCUUCCAGCAGGUGUCUGGUGGGUGUUCCCCUUUCUGACUCUUCUUCUGAAGAUGUGCAAUGGAGGUACCCUCACAUCAGCUCAUCACCAUGCACGUCUCAGCCAAAACCUCAUUUUCAUUCCAGAAACAGUAAGUCUGUCAAUUCAUUUAACUGCAUAGAAAACACCAAACAAGAAAUAAAGCCCAAUUAAGAACAGAGAAAAGGAAGAAGCUCAGGAUAAUGGAUUGUUUGGGUAAGUGGUUUUGUCAGCUCUGCUCGUGAGCUCUUGCUGUGUGAACUUGCUGGCUUGGGUGCUGGCUCUGGGGUGGUGGAGAACAUGAGGAUCACCUCCCAGGUGCAGCCAAGCCACCAGACCCCAGCUGGCCCUUUCUAUCCUGCUGCUGAACUGCAAUGGGCUGCCUUCUGGCAUAGGCUGGGGAUGGAUGCUGAGCUCAGCUCCUGUGUGCCCAGUGCCCAUUGGGUGGCCUUCUGCCAAGCUGCUCCUGGGGACAGCUCUGUGCUAACAGAUUUCUUGCAUGCUUUCCCUUGACUUUUCUCUUCCUUUCAAGAGAUGACCACUUCAAACAAUGUUUCUGCUUUCUGAUGCAUUAAGACUUGGAAAUUUGCCAUUCAUCACAGCUGUGCGUUUGAGCUCAUGUGAUUAUUUUGGGAAGUGAACCAUGGUGAUUUGUGUGUAUGUGUUUUAUUGGUGAGCAGGAUGUUCCCUAUCUACCUCUCCCUGGCUGUCUGCAUUUGCAUUGGUUAAUAAAAUGGAUAAUGUUCAAUGACUUUCUGAUGGGUGAACAAGAUUUGGCAUACAGGAUGUAGUAGCUUUUCAUGAGGGCUAAAAUUUCAUCCAGGGAGAUUGGCUGCCACAGAAGGUUCAUACACAAUCCAUAAUAACAGAAGCUUUUAACCCAUCCAUAAUUGCUUUCAUAUAGAAAAUGAUUGCUGUAAGUUAACUUCAUAAUUCCAAAUCAGUGGCUCUCAGUAGGAUUUCAGAUGCUUUAAUUUGCCCUGAAUUAUCUGUAGGACUCAUUGCAUUUCAUCUAUGCUCUUUUCUGAUUAUGCUCCUUGUCACUCUGACCCGAACUUUGCCUAUUUAAUUCCGUCCCCCACUGAAAACAGACUAAUUUCCAACGAUACCUCAACAGUGAUAAUGAUUCUGACUCGUGAACAGGGCGGACAAUGGGCUCUACAGCUUUCUCCCUUGGCACCCAACCCUUGCUUUAUCCCUGCAGCGUGCUGCUGACUUGGAUGAAGGCACAGUGGGGUGAGGUUAACUCAAGCAGGGCAAAGACAGCAGAGGCAAAGGUCCUGCAAGGAGGACCAAAGUACAUCACUGCAGGCUCUGUGUGUGCCCAGCACAUGGU
Lagopus muta (rock ptarmigan) is the source of this 2880-nucleotide long non-coding RNA. RefSeq lists it as uncharacterized. The record is from RefSeq and is a predicted model, not a curated record. The transcript has 3 exons. NCBI's taxonomy places the organism in Eukaryota, Metazoa, Chordata, Aves, Galliformes, Phasianidae.